GGUUGACCUCGGAUCAGGUAGGGAUACCCGCUGAACUUAAGCAUAUCAAUAAGCGGAGCAAAAGAUACCAACAGGGAUUGCCUCAGUAACGGCGAGUGAAGCGGCAAGAGCUCAAAUUUGAA
This 122-nucleotide ribosomal RNA is filed under the name Penicillium roqueforti. RNAcentral's name for it is "partial 28S ribosomal RNA". It matches the Rfam family "Eukaryotic large subunit ribosomal RNA", at positions 1 to 119 of the family's 3401-position model. The record is from RNAcentral. Lineage: Eukaryota; Fungi; Ascomycota; Eurotiomycetes; Eurotiales; Aspergillaceae.